This 426-nucleotide ribosomal RNA is filed under the name uncultured prokaryote. RNAcentral describes it as "bacterial SSU rRNA". It matches the Rfam family "Bacterial small subunit ribosomal RNA", at positions 355 to 774 of the family's 1533-position model. The record is from RNAcentral.
UUUCGAAUUAUUCACAAUGGGCGAAAGCCUGAUGGUGCGACGCCGCGUGAGGGAUGAAGGUCUUCGGAUUGUAAACCUCUGUCACCGGGGAAGAAUGGCUAUGACCUAAUACGUCAUGGUUUGACUUAACCCGGAGAGGAAGCAGUGGCUAACUCUGUGCCAGCAGCCGCGGUAAUACAGAGACUGCAAGCGUUAUUCGGAUUCACUGGGCGUAAAGGGUGCGCAGGCGGUUAUGUGUGUCAGGGGUGAAAGCCCGAGGCCCAACCUCGGAAUGGCGCCUAAAACUACAUGACUAGAGUACCGGAGAGGAUAGCGGAAUUCACGGUGUAGCAGUGAAAUGCGUAGAUAUCGUGAAGAACACCAGCGGCGAAGGCGGCUAUCUGGAAGGUAACUGACGCUCAGGCACGAAAGCGUGGGGAGCAAAAG